Molecule: long non-coding RNA, 294 nt
Organism: Hyla sarda
Lineage: Eukaryota; Metazoa; Chordata; Amphibia; Anura; Hylidae
Exons: 3
Source: RefSeq, a predicted model, not a curated record
UCCUCUACCUAGCCAACUGCAUCAGUUUGUCAGUACAACCAGUGCUCCUGGGGGAAUUAGUUCUAGGAUGCCUACAGGGGACCUCCGCUUUCACACUACACCUGAAGAUUAAGCUAGCUUUAAAAUCUGACCUGGAAAUAUGAUUGGGAAAGUCCAAAACUCCUUCAGAACUGAGGAAAGUCCUUAGACUCUGCACCCGUGUGAAUAUCUGUGUAUCCUGUGGACUCCUUCAGAUUCGGUGGACUACGAUGAAAAUUUUUUUGGGGUUUAAUAUCAAUAAAAUGUCUAACAAGG